RNAcentral lists this transfer RNA (74 nucleotides) under Bacteroidales bacterium. RNAcentral describes it as "tRNA-Val". It matches the Rfam family "tRNA". Rfam says of the family: Transfer RNA (tRNA) molecules are approximately 80 nucleotides in length. Their secondary structure includes four short double-helical elements and three loops (D, anti-codon, and T loops). Lineage: Bacteria; Pseudomonadati; Bacteroidota; Bacteroidia; Bacteroidales. The record is from RNAcentral.
GGGGACAUAGUUCAGUUGGUUAGAGCGCUUGCUCGACAUGCAAGAGAUCACUGGUUCGAAUCCAGUUGUCCCCA